CUCGGCAACGGAUAUCUCGGCUCUCGCAUCGAUGAAGAACGUAGCGAAAUGCGAUACUUGGUGUGAAUUGCAGAAUCCCGUGAACCAUCGAGUCUUUGAACGCAAGUUGCGCCCGAAGCAUUAGGCUGAGGGCACGUCUGCCUGGGCGUCACGC
Molecule: ribosomal RNA, 154 nt
Filed under: Origanum vulgare (oregano)
Lineage: Eukaryota; Viridiplantae; Streptophyta; Magnoliopsida; Lamiales; Lamiaceae
Also listed under: 1 other name
Description: 5.8S
Rfam family: 5.8S ribosomal RNA
About the family: 5.8S ribosomal RNA (5.8S rRNA) is a component of the large subunit of the eukaryotic ribosome.
Source: RNAcentral